CAGAAGCCCCAGGAGAAAGUCCAGAGUCACCUGAGGGUGCAGCCCCAGGGAGCUUCGCGCAGCCAGCUCUGCAGCCAGCACCUAAGGAGGUGCCCGCGGGAGGAGGAGGGGGCGUGUGGAGUGCUCCGGCUGGGUGGGCUGCCUGGGAAGGGACUUGCUGGACCUCCUGGGAAGGGGUGGCUGACCGAGUUUGUCACUGAUGGAGACACGGAUGUGUCCGCCAUGCACAGAUGGAGACUUGGCCAUCACUCAAUAGGGAGGCUUGAGGAUGGCAGUGUCAGCCUUGCUCAGCAGCAGGGACGGAGGCCCUAGGCUGUGGAGUGGCUUCCCUGCCUUGCCGUCUGCUCCCUGCACCCUUGCAGCUCCCACUGAGUGGGUAGAGACUGCUCGCCAGCCUUGGAGUCUAGGCUGGUGUGGGCUUGGACCCUUGGGAGACCUUCCAGCUUCCACUCUGUCUUGGAAGGAAUCCUGACAGCCCUCUGAGAACAAGCGCAGGCCAGCCUGCUGCGGGAUGAUUGUCAUCGGUCAGCCAACCUCCAGCCGCCAGAACAGGCCCCUCUGAGAUCAGCACAGCCUGGAUCAGGCUGGCAGCACUGCCUGGGUGGCCCUGGCUCGUGAGCAAGUGUAGACACGUAUUGCUUUUGUCCACCGCGUUUCCAGGCUGCUGGGUUUGUAGCAGCAGCUGACCCAUACGGCAUGGCCACCGCAAGAGGUCACACAGGUACCACUUGAAGCUGCGACACUUCAGCCUCUGACGCAGGGCCAGCCUCUCAGACACGUCCCCGAAGUCCACCCCUGGGUUCUGCAAGGCCAGAAGUAGGCAGGAGGGCACAGGUCUGAGGCAGAUGCUCCCGAGGGGAAGGACCCUGCCGGAGAGCAGCCCCGAGGGCCCUUGCUGCAGCCGGCUUGUCCACACCCACCCAGGCCCAGGACCCUCCUGCCUGAGAAGACGGCCCUGCUCACCUGGCCUUGGCUGCACAGCAUCAGCCUGACCUCUGGAGGGUGGAGACCGAGGUCGGCCAUGUCCAUGAGACCAGCCUGGUGAGGACCCUGGACACUGAGGCUCGGGGGCUCCUGGCUGGCCCCACCUGGCACGUAUUGUCACGCAUGGGUGCUGGAGCAUCAAGUCCCCGGGACCCCCCCGGGGGGGGGGACACCUGGGAGCUUGCACCCGGCCUCUCCUGGUCCCUGCCCAGGUGUCUCUUCCCUCUGCUGACUUUGACCCGUGUCCUCUGCUGUGAGAACCCACAUCCGAGUGCGGUGUCUGCGUCUUCCUGGGAUUGUGGGGCCUGAGGGGCUAUAGGGACCAGCGCCCUGACGGCCAGCCAGCCCUGAGGGAGCACCUGCCCCUGCCCAGGGACCCUCCAGGCUCAGGCCUUGUGGGGAGGGCAGAUGACUUGGCCUUCACGGCCUGGGCUUGAAUCCCGUCACCUUCUGGUGUGUGGUCCUGGGACAGUUCCCUACCUUCUGUGUGCCUCAGUUUCUCA
This is a long non-coding RNA of Nomascus leucogenys (northern white-cheeked gibbon), 1487 nucleotides long. RefSeq lists it as uncharacterized. The transcript is spliced from 3 exons. The record is from RefSeq and is a predicted model, not a curated record. Lineage: Eukaryota; Metazoa; Chordata; Mammalia; Primates; Hylobatidae.